CCAAGAAACUUGAAGAGGCAAUUUUAGUUGGUGGUGUGCUUUAAAAUUUCAUAUUGCUGUUCGGUGUUUCUCCAUAAUCGUGUCUUCUAUUUUUUUAGAAUUUUCUAGCAUAUGAACUAUCACAUGAAUUUUCCUAGCUUUGGUGGUCGCGCCGCCCAGGACGCCGGCGGCGGAGACGAAGGCAAUUUGUACUGGGACAUCGUGGCCGAGCCACAGGACCUCCGCCUUGACGAGCUGCUGGACCUAGGCCUCGACGAGAGGCCGGACCUCAGCCUCCCUCUGGUUUUCAUGGCUGAACAUGAGCAUGUCUGUUUGUGGUGUUGAGGUAAAGCUCAGUUUGUUACACAGCAGAGCCAAGGGCAUGUCGUGGACCAAGUACAGCAAGCUGGGCAGCGUGUGCAGCUAGCUUCGGGAGUGAAAUGAGAUAAUACAGAGCAUGACAUGUGCCGAUAGCAUGAAAUUGGAGGAGCUGAAUUCUAUAUUGGUUCCUUGUUGACGUCUGACCCUGUUGAUGUAGUUCUGUAUUGUACAGGUGAUUGCACUUGUGGAAGGAUUAGCCCACUAGUGCUCAGAGGGAACGUGCAUUCUAAGCCAGAUUCAGGUGCUCUGCUCCAGCCUUCAACAAGUCAAUCUUGUUAGUACUAUGGAGUGCAAACUAUGCAGAUGAUGUUUGUGUUUUGAAGUUUCUACUAAAACACAUAUAACUCUUUGGGUGGGUCAGGUGCCCCCUUUCUCAUACAAUUGAGCCGUGUUCACUUUGAGUGUAACUUGUAGCCUUGUAAAUUAAAGAGAACAUGUGUUGAUUCCCCAGUUUAUAGCUGACCUUGCACGCCAAAGUUGGACAAGAUAUUAUUGAGCUAAAGAUAUUCAAAUCCAAGGCUGAGGCUAAUAUCGUAGCUAUGCCCAAGGCCUUGAAUAAAA
This is a long non-coding RNA of Triticum aestivum (bread wheat), 921 nucleotides long. RefSeq lists it as uncharacterized. Lineage: Eukaryota; Viridiplantae; Streptophyta; Magnoliopsida; Poales; Poaceae. The transcript is spliced from 5 exons. The record is from RefSeq and is a predicted model, not a curated record.